UUUUUUCCUCAAAUCAAGUAGGACUACCCGCUGAACUUAAGCAUAUCAAUAAGCGGAGGAAAAGAAACCAACAGGGAUUGCCUCAGUAACGGCGAGUGAAGCGGCAAAAGCUCAAAUUUGAAAUCCCCCCGGGGAGUUGUAAUUUGAAGAUUGCGUCUUGGAGGCGACCGUGUCUAUGUUCCUUGGAACAGGACGUCACAGAGGGUGAGAAUCCCGUGCGGCACGGCCCCCGGCUCCUUAUAAGGCGCUCUCGACGAGUCGAGUUGUUUGGGAAUGCAGCUCAAAGUGGGUGGUAAAUUCCAUCUAAAGCUAAAUACAGGCGAGAGACCG
RNAcentral lists this ribosomal RNA (330 nucleotides) under Kodamaea ohmeri. RNAcentral describes it as "eukaryotic LSU rRNA". It matches the Rfam family "Eukaryotic large subunit ribosomal RNA", at positions 1 to 336 of the family's 3401-position model. The record is from RNAcentral. Lineage: Eukaryota; Fungi; Ascomycota; Pichiomycetes; Serinales; Debaryomycetaceae.